Non-coding RNA from Aspergillus leporis, 149 nucleotides. The record is from the annotation of a GenBank genome assembly. Lineage: Eukaryota; Fungi; Ascomycota; Eurotiomycetes; Eurotiales; Aspergillaceae.
GGCAAGGUGGCCGAGUGGUUAUGGCGCUAGUUGUCAGUCUCCCUGAUUCUCAACCACCAAUUCUAAGCAUCUCAACUAACAACCAACUAGUUAGGUUCUACCAAAACACUAGUUUCUUUGAUUCGCGGGUUCGAAUCCCGUCCUUGUCA